GAUUUUCUAGACAUUGAAAGUGCCCCACCGGGCUUAAUCGGGAAUCCCGUGAAAAGCGGGAGCGGACCCGCCGCCGUAAGCCGGGCAACAAACUGUCUUUCACCAUGCGCCACUGGGUUCAGCCCGGGAAGGCCGAAAGAUGGCCGGCAAGCCGGAAGACCUGCUUUCAACUUACCUUCAAA
Non-coding RNA from Desulfovibrio desulfuricans, 182 nucleotides. The record is from Rfam. NCBI's taxonomy places the organism in Bacteria, Pseudomonadati, Thermodesulfobacteriota, Desulfovibrionia, Desulfovibrionales, Desulfovibrionaceae.